Molecule: long non-coding RNA, 861 nt
Filed under: Mus musculus (house mouse)
Lineage: Eukaryota; Metazoa; Chordata; Mammalia; Rodentia; Muridae
Description: braveheart long non-coding RNA
Source: RNAcentral
GCUGGGCACUUUCUUCCUGCGGCCGUGGAGAGAAGCCAGGCUGCCGUCCUGGCCAUGCAUGGCAGGAUCCUGGCAAACGGCAUAUGGCAAAUGCUCACACAAAAUGUGCUGGCUUGAUCAGACCAAUAUGCUCCUGUCAAGAGCAGCAGAACUCGUAGACUCAGGGUGCAUUCUAUCCAGGUUCCUAAACUGAGCUUGGAAGGAAGAGGAAAGAGCUGCAGAGGCGGAGACUCUGACCCCAAAGCGAUCGAGGGCCCUCCCCUGGCUUCCGUGUCCCUGUGGCAGGCGGUGGUGGUCGAAAUCUCUGCCCCUCAGAGUCCUGGGGAGGAUGGAUGGAACAGGAGGAGCAUCAUGAGAAGGCUUCCUGUAAACUACGGAGGGUGCUCGUGGAAGCCAGCAGAGGGUGUAGGGUCUCCUGGAGCCACAUCUCUGGAGUUACAUGAAGUUGUGGACCUCUCAACAUGGGUUCUGGGAACUGAACCCAGGUCCUCUGGAAGGACAUCGAGUGCUCUUAACCACUGAGCCAUCUCUGCAGCCUAACCCCAUCCCUUGGAGGCUGAAGCAAAGCAAGUUCAAUGACCGUGCGACCUGGCUCUUGUUUGGGCCUAAGGAAAAGCCGACUGUAAGCCGGGAAGCAUCUCUGGCAAGAACAAGGAAGGAUUAAGCACGUCUGUGGUUGUGCGCAGGGAUCACAAGGUGCUCCUGCAGUGGGAAGAGCCACCACUAGGGGCGCUCCAAGUCUUGUAUUUUCUACCUUGAAAACUCGUUUCCCUGUGGCUGCCCUCCAAAUCCAACGGAGAUGAAUGGCUUUUAGUUUACCUAGCUGAUUUAAUAAACUUUAAAAAUAAAUGUACGAAUGAC